This 465-nucleotide ribosomal RNA is filed under the name uncultured bacterium. RNAcentral's name for it is "SSU rRNA". It matches the Rfam family "Bacterial small subunit ribosomal RNA", at positions 26 to 518 of the family's 1533-position model. The record is from RNAcentral.
AGAACGAACGCUGGCGGCAUGCCUAACACAUGCAAGUCGAACGCUUUUGGGGCUUCGGUCCCAAAGGAGUGGCGCACGGGUGAGUAGCGCGUGGGAACCUGCCCUGUUGUGGGGGAUAACCGAGGGAAACUUCGGCUAAUACCGCAUACGCCCGGGGGAAACUCCGGGGAAAGAUUUAUCGCAGCAGGAGGGGCCCGCGUCGGAUUAGGUAGUUGGUGGGGUAACGGCCCACCAAGCCUGUGAUCCGUAGCUGGUCUGAGAGGAUGAUCAGCCACACUGGGACUGAGACACGGCCCAGACUCCUACGGGAGGCAGCAGUGGGGAAUAUUGGACAAUGGGCGCAAGCCUGAUCCAGCAAUGCCGCGUGAGUGAUGAAGGCCUUCGGGUUGUAAAGCUCUUUCGCACGCGACGAUGAUGACGGUAGCGUGAGAAGAAGCCCGGACUAACUUCGUGCCAGCAGGCCGC